GCUAGUUGGUGGGGUAAUGGCCUACCAAGGUUAUGAUGGUUAGCUGGUCUGAGAGGAUGAUCAGCCACACUGGAACUGAAACACGGUCCAGACUCCUACGGGAGGCAGCAGUGAGGAAUAUUGCGCAAUGGGGGCAACCCUGACGCAGCAACGCCGCGUGAGUGAGGAAGGUUUUCGGAUUGUAAAGCUCUGUCGAGCGGAAAGAAAUGCACGAUGGCUAAUAUCCAUCAUGCUUGACGGUACCGCUAGAGGAAGCACCGGCUAACUCCGUGCCAGCAGCCGCGGUAAUACGGGGGGUGCAAGCGUUGUUCGGAAUCAUUGGGCGUAAAGAGCGUGUAGGCGGCUGGACAAGUCAGAUGUGAAAUCCCUGGGCUUAACCCAGGAAGUGCAUUUGAAACUGUCUAGCUGGAGUAAGGGAGAGGAAAGUGGAAUUCCUGGUGUAGAGGUGAAAUUCGUAGAUAUCAGGAGGAACACCGGUGGCGAAGGCGACUUUCUGGCCCUAUACUGACGCUGAGACGCGAAAGCGUGGGUAGCAAACAGGAUUAGAUACCCUGGUAGUCCACGCUGUAAACGAUGUUCACUAGGUGUUGGGGGUAUUGACCCUUUCAGUGCCGCAGCUAACGCAUUA
RNAcentral lists this ribosomal RNA (628 nucleotides) under uncultured bacterium. RNAcentral's name for it is "bacterial SSU rRNA". It matches the Rfam family "Bacterial small subunit ribosomal RNA", at positions 244 to 862 of the family's 1533-position model. The record is from RNAcentral.